Molecule: ribosomal RNA, 334 nt
Filed under: uncultured bacterium
Lineage: Bacteria
Description: bacterial SSU rRNA
Rfam family: Bacterial small subunit ribosomal RNA
Source: RNAcentral
CGUGUAGGCGGAUGGGGACGUCGGUUGUUGAAAGCCCCCGGCUCAACCGGGGAACUGGCGCCGAAACGCCCUGUCUUGAGGAGCGUAGGGGGACCUGGAACUUCCGGUGGAGCGGUGAAAUGCGUUGAGAUCGGAAGGAACGCCCGUGGCGAAAGCGAGGUCCUGGACGUUAUCUGACGCUGAGACGCGAAAGCUAGGGGAGCGAAACGGGAUUAGAUACCCCGGUAGUCCUAGCUGUAAACGAUGGGCACUGGGUAGGGGGCUCGCCGAUGGGCUCUCUGCCGUAGGGAAACCGUGAAGUGCCCCGCCUGGGGAGUAUGGUCGCAAGGCUGAA